AUGGGGUUUCUCGACAAGUACAGAGACAGUCUUUCCGUGUGGAUGGCCGGCCGUGCAUCGCUGGCGCGCAUGUCUGCCUUUGAUGUAGCCCAACGUAUUGUGUCGUGCUCCUCUCAUAGAGACGUCCUGCGUCUCUCCCAGCGGGGGGCCCUUGUCGCGCGAUUUCACACAAAGCGCUUUUCCCGCGCAGGCCCUUCGCAUUCACUCCGAAAAGGCAAGUGGGCCUGUCUCUGCCUCGGAGGCGCCGUCCAUUGUCGCGGCUUUUGCGAUGCUGGUGGGUGCGCGUGACCGCCUCUUGCAGCUGCUUCCGCUGUCGAAGAGCUUGUGGGAAGAUGUGACGGUACUCUCGUUUCUAUUCGGUACGGAUGUCGCGGCAGUGUAGACCGUGUGUGACACCACCGCGGUGACGAUAGUUCGGCGUCUGCUGGCGGGUGCACCGAGCGUGAGGCAGGUGUCUGCGCCUCGCAUUGGCUGCCUGGGGCGGAAGGCUCGCCGCCAGCGCCGGCACUUUUUGCUUCGGCGUGCCAGACGCUCGGGUGCCUGUGAGCGCUGUCGCAGGAGGACGUCGAGGCACAAGAGCGCGUGUGCUCGCAUUGCCGGGCUCAGCUGCGCCAAUGCACCACGCUCGGAUGCCUACGCAUGGUCCAGGGAGCGGCGCGCUGCUCAGAGCACGGAGAGUAGCGCUGGCCACACGCGUAUCGUCUCCCUGCAGACGCGUUGCGUGCACCGAGGGCAAGCAGCAAAGUGCGCUAUAGCAUCCGCCCUCUUGCUCAACUACGCCCCGCCCCGCGCGCAUGCACCCGUGUGAGGAAAGGAGAAGAAGCCAGGUGACAUGCGUGUGGGCUCAACGACUUCCGAUCUUCCCUACUUCUCUGUUAGGAAGGCCUCCUUUCUCCUUGUG
RNAcentral lists this unclassified non-coding RNA (901 nucleotides) under Leishmania donovani. RNAcentral's name for it is "gene:unknown". Lineage: Eukaryota; Euglenozoa; Kinetoplastea; Trypanosomatida; Trypanosomatidae. The record is from RNAcentral.